CAUAUUGGUUCGAUGCCUCUGCUGGUGGACUAUUAGUCCCCGAGGGUAUCACCAGCCCAGUAGCCAGUACUUCGGUACUGGCAUGAAAAUACGGAUUUUUUUGUGUUAUUAAAAUUUCCUGUUACAAAAUAUUAGAAAUUAUUAUAAAUUAAGGAAUGAAUCUCCCUCAUGCAAAGCUCUGAUUCCUUUCACGGAUUUGGCUAUACUUUU
This 210-nucleotide long non-coding RNA is filed under the name Mytilus galloprovincialis (Mediterranean mussel). The record is from RNAcentral. Lineage: Eukaryota; Metazoa; Mollusca; Bivalvia; Mytilida; Mytilidae.